CGUGGAGCGUUAUUGGACGAGAGAAUUGUAAACCCGGUCAGGUCUGGAAGGAAGCAGCCGUAGCAGUUAUACUUGGGUCGGUAACGUUCCUUGCCU
RNAcentral lists this signal recognition particle RNA (96 nucleotides) under Holosporales bacterium. RNAcentral describes it as "signal recognition particle sRNA small type". It matches the Rfam family "Bacterial small signal recognition particle RNA". From Rfam's summary of the family: The signal recognition particle (SRP) is a universally conserved ribonucleoprotein involved in the co-translational targeting of proteins to membranes. Archaeal SRP consists of a 7S RNA and homologues of the eukaryotic SRP19 and SRP54 proteins. Lineage: Bacteria; Pseudomonadati; Pseudomonadota; Alphaproteobacteria; Holosporales. The record is from RNAcentral.